Molecule: ribosomal RNA, 526 nt
Filed under: uncultured bacterium
Lineage: Bacteria
Description: bacterial SSU rRNA
Rfam family: Bacterial small subunit ribosomal RNA
Source: RNAcentral
AGAGUUUGAUCCUGGCUCAGAUUGAACGCUGGCGGAAUGCUUUACACAUGCAAGUCGAACGAUGAAGCCUAGCUUGCUAGGCAGAUUAGUGGCGAACGGGUGAGUAAUGUAUCGGAACGUAUCCAAUAAUGGGGGAUAACGAGUCGAAAGAUUCGCUAAUACCGCAUACGCCCUACGGGGGAAAGCAGGGGAUCUUAGGACCUUGCGUUAAUGGAGCGGCCGAUAUCUGAUUAGCUAGUUGGUGAGGUAAAGGCUCACCAAGGCGACGAUCAGUAGCUGGUCUGAGAGGACGACCAGCCACACUGGAACUGAGACACGGUCCAGACUCCUACGGGAGGCAGCAGUGGGGAAUUUUGGACAAUGGGCGAAAGCCUGAUCCAGCCAUUCCGCGUGAGUGAAGAAGGCCUUCGGGUUGUAAAGCUCUUUCGCAAGGGAAGAAAACUUACUUUCUAAUAAAGAGUGAGGUUGACGGUACCUUGAUAAGAAGCACCGGCUAACUACGUGCCAGCAGCCGCGGUAAUACGUA